Molecule: ribosomal RNA, 1394 nt
Filed under: uncultured bacterium
Lineage: Bacteria
Description: 16S ribosomal RNA
Rfam family: Bacterial small subunit ribosomal RNA
Source: RNAcentral
AGAGUUUGAUCCUGGCUCAGGAUGAACGCUAGCGGGAGGCUUAACACAUGCAAGUCGAGCGGGAUUAGCAGCAAUGCUAUGAGAGCGGCGCACGGGUGCGUAACGCCGUAACGCGUAUGCAACCUGCCUUAUACAGGGGAAUAGCCCAUGGAAACGUGGAUUAAAGUCCCAUAGAAUCAAGAUAUCGCAUGGUAUUAUGAUUAAAACUGAGGUGGUAUAAGAUGGGCAUGCGUCUGAUUAGGUAGUUGGUGAGGUAACGGCUCACCAAGGCGACGAUCAGUAGCCGACCUGAGAGGGUGAACGGCCACACUGGAACUGAGACACGGUCCAGACUCCUACGGGAGGCAGCAGUGGGGAAUAUUGCACAAUGGGCGCAAGCCUGACGCAGCAACGCCGCGUGAGGGAAGAAGGCUUUAUGGAUUGUAAACUUCUUUUGCAGGGGAAUAAAGUGAGCUACGUGUAGCUUAUUGUAUGUACCUUGCGAAUAAGGAUCGGCUAACUCCGUGCCAGCAGCCGCGGUAAUACGGAGGAUGCAAGCGUUAUCCGGAUUUAUUGGGUUUAAAGGGUGCGUAGGCGGUCUAUUAAGUCAGCGGUGAAAGUUUUCAGCUUAACUGGAAAAAUGCCGUUGAUACUGAUAGGCUAGAAUAUGGUUGCUGUGGGUGGAAUGUGUGGUGUAGCGGUGAAAUGCUUAGAUAUCACACAGAAUAUCAAUUGCGAAGGCAGCUCACAAAGCCAUUAUUGACGCUGAGGCACGAAAGUGUGGGGAUCAAACAGGAUUAGAUACCCUGGUAGUCCACACCGUAAACGAUGAUAACUCGCUGUCGGCGAUAAACAGUCGGUAGCCAAGCGAAAGCGAUAAGUUAUCCACCUGGGGAGUACGACCGCAAGGUUGAAACUCAAAGGAAUUGACGGGGGCCCGCACAAGCGGAGGAACAUGUGGUUUAAUUCGAUGAUACGCGAGGAACCUUACCCGGGCUCGAACGGUGCAUGAAUACAUAAGAGAUUGUGUAGCUAGCAAUAGCAUGUAUCGAGGUGCUGCAUGGUUGUCGUCAGCUCGUGCCGUGAGGUGUCGGCUUAAGUGCCAUAACGAGCGCAACCCUUGUCGUUAGUUGCCAUCAGGUAAUGCUGGGAACUCUAGCGAGACUGCCACCGUAAGGUGUGAGGAAGGGGGGGAUGACGUCAAAUCAGCACGGCCCUUACGUCCGGGGCGACACACGUGUUACAAUGGUAGGUACAGAGGGCAGCUACCCAGCAAUGGGAUGCGAAUCUCGAAAGCCUAUCUCAGUUCGGAUCGGAGUCUGCAACUCGACUCCGUGAAGUUGGAUUCGCUAGUAAUCGCGCAUCAGCCAUGGCGCGGUGAAUACGUUCCCGGGCCUUGUACACACCGCCCGUCA